Molecule: RNA transcript, 2482 nt
Organism: Formica exsecta
Lineage: Eukaryota; Metazoa; Arthropoda; Insecta; Hymenoptera; Formicidae
Exons: 2
Source: RefSeq, a predicted model, not a curated record
AUGAUACAUUUGUUGUCAUACGAAGAUAUAGAACCUUCACGGCGUGCUACAUAUAUAAUAACACUGCGUGUUAUUGUUGAUAUAUUCGAUCACUUGUUACCAUUUGUACGGCGACAUUCGGAAUGCUAUGUCGUCGGAUUAUUCUUCGAGAAACGUGAUUAUUUCCUACAUUUAUUAUAAUUAGCGAUUCGUAAGCGUAUCAUAAUUAACCAUAUUUUCGUGAAUGAUGUCAAAUUUUUGCCUUACUCAAAGUUAUUGUGAUAUCUUGACUCGUUGUCACGAAGUACAAUCCUCAUACAAAAGGGAAUAUUAGUUCGCGAUCGUGGAAUUUGCGGGAGUGCCGCGCAAAGUGUCGCGCGUCCGUAUUCAUUGUGUCGCGAAUAAUUCGUUGCGUCUUAAUUAGUUUGAUAAUGACGUACACGAAAUGUCGCGCGUCCGAAUCCGGAAGUGCCGUGCAAAGUGUCGCGCGUCUGUUCUUAUCGUGCCGUAUAAUGAACAGUAAUGAACUGUAAUGAACUGUAACCAUAUUUCCAGAUGAGUGCAACGAACUCUGUAGGUGUAAUGAAUCCUGACAAUCUAAGAGGAGGAAGUCUAGGAAGCUUCGGGCAACGGCAGAGCAAUCUUGUAACUUGGUGUCACUCUAAAUCUGAGACAGCGCGCAGUAAAAACGAUUCGAUUAAGAAAACAAUCAAUUACUCGCGGGGCGGGCAUUUAAUUAAUAUACGUUCGCGUUUAGUCAGCGAAUUGUAACGGAAGUACUCGUAAAAAGAGAGGAGAGAUAGGAAGGAUGUUGCCGCUUCGGGGUUUACGUACGAACGACACGGCUGGCCCAGCACGUGUGCAACGUCCGUUAUGGAAUCCAUUACGAGAUAGCGGGAUGCCGCCUGCGGUUUGCAAUGAAGAUACCGAUAUUUAUGGAUCUAACAAGCUCACCACUGAAGUAUAUUCGCCAUUACGUUCGCGAGGAUUAUCGGCCAACGGAAGCCGCCGCUCUUUGAAACCAUAAUCCCGCGUUCCUUCGAGUCGAUAAUGGAAUCGCUUUUAAUGCCGCAUGGAUGAUUCUCUCCGAAUCACGUAAUGGUAAAUUACCCCAGUUCGGAGAGAGCGCUCCUAAUAAUUUGACGUCUAAAGAAGGCUUCAGAUGUGUGGGAGAAUUCUGCUUCAUAUCGAUCGCGUGUUUUAAAUGGGAUGAAUGGAAUAUUCGGAUGUUCUUUUUAUCUAAAAUCUAAUUGAACAAAUACAGAUAUCAAAAUUUUUAACACUUUAUAUUGUGCGAAAGAUGCGUCCAAUGAUUGAAACACUAUAUCUAAUAGAAAGAGUACAAAAUGAGUUCUAUAUCUCUCGGGGCUCUUUCAUUCGAUACUCGGGAGUUCGCUGACGAUCUCUUAAUAUUUGUACCAAAGUGUAAUUAAAAUCGUGAAAAGCGACGGCCAAUGUCGGCCGUAAUAUAGAGCCUUCAAAGAGCGCGAUGGAGUGUGCAAACGAGAUGAACACUGAUAGAAGUACGCGAGAGUUUCAGUAGUUCGGUUAUACCGGUCUUUAAUGCCGGCUUCGUUAGUUGCAGAUUGUCGGUGAUAUAUUUUCUCUCUUUCUCCCGCCGUUCUUCUUUUCUCUCUUUCUCUUAUUUUUUUUUCAUGACGAAAGUCAUCGCGGAUAAUCCGAGGUUGCAGCUUUUCAUCGGCGAAAAAUGCACCGUCUAAUGGUGCACUCCUAGGCAAGAACUCUAAUGUCAUUAGCGCGCCGAACAAAUACGCACUUAACGAGCGACGUUUUAAACAGAUUCGUUAUGUCAAUUUUAACGUCCUUAGUUCGUAACACGGUCGUUGCGAGAUUUCGAAAACGCGCUCUCACUAAUUAUUCACGGUUAUGUAAUUUUACAAUUUCGUAUAAUUUAAUAAUUAAACAUCUCGUUAAAUGCUUCUGUUGAGAAAGAAUUUAGUUAUUUUUAUGGCUGAUUUAUAUAUCUGUAUCGUAUAAAUAUUUUAUCCAUAACUAAAAUUCUCAUGUAAAUUCUGCGAAAUUUAAAACAUGAAAGUUUUUCUUUUGCUUGAUAAGACAAAAAGGAUAUAAAUUUUUAUUUUAGUAAUUUUAGUUUUGAUUAUAUAUAUAUAAUCUACCUGUUUGUAUGAUAUUGACGUGAUGCAUAAAGCGCGGUACGAACUUCAAGUUACAAAGAUUAAGUAAUCCUGCGAGAAAACGGAAGAUAACCAGCAAAGGGAGCGGCGGAAUGCAAUUUCAGUUCCAGAAUUUCUGACAGACCGAUAUCUCAACUAUUUGGAAGGGAGGUAUCUGGGCCAUUACUUUUCCGUGUACUACCGGCCGCAGCUGUAAGAUACCCCCGAUAAAGACGAGACCAUUAUCUCCGACUCCUACAUUCAAUUUACCGUCGCGGUUACUGUUAUCGUCGACUACAUGCCGCGAAUUCAGUCUUAUCACUAAUUGAUUCACAUGCUACUUUUCUUGUAUCAUUUUUGUAAGUAAG